UGCUCCUACGGGACGCAGCAGUAGGGAAUUUUCGGCAAUGGGGGGAACCCUGACCGAGCAACACCGCGUGAAGGAAGAGGGAAUUCGUUCUGUAAACUUCUGUUAUAAAGGAAGAAAGGCGGAUGAAGGAAAUGACAUCCGAGUGACGGUACUUUAUGAGAAAGCCACGGCUAACUACGUGCCAGCAGCCGCGGUAAUACGUAGGUGGCAAGCGUUAUCCGGAAUUAUUGGGCGUAAAGAGGGAGCAGGCGGCAGCAAAGGUCUGUGGUGAAAGACUGAAGCUUAACUUCAAUAAGCCAUAGAAC
This 305-nucleotide ribosomal RNA is filed under the name uncultured bacterium. Its description in RNAcentral is "bacterial SSU rRNA". It matches the Rfam family "Bacterial small subunit ribosomal RNA", at positions 334 to 632 of the family's 1533-position model. The record is from RNAcentral.